This is a long non-coding RNA of Myotis davidii, 211 nucleotides long. RefSeq lists it as uncharacterized. Lineage: Eukaryota; Metazoa; Chordata; Mammalia; Chiroptera; Vespertilionidae. The transcript is spliced from 3 exons. The record is from RefSeq and is a predicted model, not a curated record.
GGGACAGGCAAACGUCCUCUGCCCAUUCACUGGAUCCGAAGGGAGUUCUCCGGGGCCCUGGAACUUCUCAGGUUGCGCACCCCCAAGAGACCCCUCAGUCUCCACGAAUGGCUCAGGGAAGGUUUUGCCUCACUUUGCAUCCGAAACAGCACCCCUAAGGGACUGCAUCUCGCUGGGGCCUCCAAAUGUUGUAAUUCCACUUGGCCCAUGU